RNAcentral lists this ribosomal RNA (440 nucleotides) under uncultured bacterium. Its description in RNAcentral is "partial 16S ribosomal RNA". It matches the Rfam family "Bacterial small subunit ribosomal RNA", at positions 338 to 795 of the family's 1533-position model. The record is from RNAcentral.
CCUACGGGAGGCAGCAGUAGGGAAUAUUGCUCAAUGGGGGAAACCCUGAAGCAGCAACGCCGCGUGGAGGAUGAAGGUUUUCGGAUUGUUAACUCCUUUUGUUAGAGAAGAUAAUGACGGUAUCUAACGAAUAAGCACCGGCUAACUCCGUGCCAGCAGCCGCGGUAAUACGGAGGGUGCAAGCGUUACUCGGAAUCACUGGGCGUAAAGAGCGCGUAGGCGGGAUAGCAAGUCAGAUGUGAAAUCCUAUGGCUUAACCAUAGAACUGCAUUUGAAACUGUUAUUCUAGAGUAUGGGAGAGGUAGGUGGAAUUCUUGGUGUAGGGGUAAAAUCCGUAGAGAUCAAGAGGAAUACUGAUUGCGAAGGCGACCUGCUAGAACAUAACUGACGCUGAUGCGCGAAAGCGUGGGGAGCAAACAGGAUUAGAUACCCGGGUAGUC